Non-coding RNA from Podarcis muralis (Common wall lizard), 705 nucleotides. The record is from RefSeq and is a predicted model, not a curated record. NCBI's taxonomy places the organism in Eukaryota, Metazoa, Chordata, Lepidosauria, Squamata, Lacertidae.
GGGGUCCCCGCUUCUCCGGCCGCCUUGCAGAAGCGGCCACCGCCCGGCGGCUCUGCCUUUGCUCGCAGGCCUGCCUGGGGGCUCCCUCGGCUCCACCGCUGAGCUGGCGGCCCCGAUCCCGGGAGCGGCUAGGCCUGCGCCAGGGCCCUGACCCGACAGCUUCUCCGGCUCCCCAAGCCGAGGACAGCUUCGGCUGUGAAGCAGCGCCUUCCGGGCUGGCCCCUUCUCGGCUUAUCACGCUGGGCCUCGCCUCUCCAGCUCCCGGUUCCCCUCUCGCUCAGCGCCGGCUCCGGCUUGUCCUUGACGUGCGUGGCCCGUAGGAUCCGAGACGCCGCCCAGAGGAGCCGCUGCCUCCGCUCCAGGUUAACACAGAACAAAGGAAACCUAUAGAAGAUAAAUAUUUGGAAAGUUAGAAGGAAUCUGUCAGGUAAGGGGGUGCCGUGCGCUCUUUCUAGAGCUGUAAGGGUUUGGAAAACCUUUUUUUUUAAUUAAAGAAAUAAAAUUCUCAGCUGCAACCCCAAUAAGGCAGUACAUCCCCCUCCGUUUUUCCGGUUGCAUUUCUUUUCGGCCCAGCCUUCAAAGGGGAAUCGGGCCCGUUCCUGCCCGGGCUGUCGGAGCGCCUAGGUUGUCUGUGGCUGAGGCUCCGCUCCUUUUGCCCGAACCCGGUCGGUCUCCUACUCCCAAUUCCCCCCCAAGAAACCUGGA